RNAcentral lists this transfer RNA (65 nucleotides) under Anilios australis (Southern blind snake). RNAcentral describes it as "transfer RNA-Cys". Lineage: Eukaryota; Metazoa; Chordata; Lepidosauria; Squamata; Typhlopidae. The record is from RNAcentral.
AAGUUCGGGGGUGUUUAUACAUGUCAAAUUGCAAACUUGAAGUGGGCCGUCAAGGCUUCGAACUU